RNAcentral lists this long non-coding RNA (559 nucleotides) under Nicotiana tabacum (common tobacco). Its description in RNAcentral is "long non-coding RNA (NTAB_LNC005234)". Lineage: Eukaryota; Viridiplantae; Streptophyta; Magnoliopsida; Solanales; Solanaceae. The record is from RNAcentral.
AGGAUUACAAGUAAAAAGUUGCAUCCAAUCAACCUUACAUCCUUUAAAAAAUUCUAAUUAAUUCUCCCGUCUGUCAUGAGAAACUAGCCAAUAUAGAAAAUCAUCUCAUGUAUAGAAAAAGAAAUAUGUACUCAAUUAUCGCCAAUUCAAUAUUUUCAAUUAGGCCCUAUUUUCGCUUAUCUUCUUUUCUAGGUCUCGACAUUAAGUGCAUAAUCACUUUGGUAGUUACAUAGUAAAGCCGCCAUGUCAUUCCUGCCAAGAGUUGACUGCAACAGAUAAUAAACCUUUUUUUUUUUUUGGUAAUUGAUAAUAAACCUCAAAUAGCUACAUCUAUCUUUCCUGUCUGCAUAACUCCCCAAGAGAAUCUGGGUCUCUUCUCUACUGGUUUCUUCUGAAUGGUCAGUUUUAGCAAUUGAAAUACUACACAAUCUCUAUGCCACUCUACUGCAAAUUGACUUGCAACGUUCACAAACAACUAAUUAAUUUUCAAUGGUCAAGAGUCCAAGAAAUCUGAUACUAGUCUAAAUCUUGAUACAGAACAGCAAAUGACUCCUAAAAA